UACUCNUACGNGAGGCAGCAGUGGGGAAUAUUGNUCAAUGGGGGAANCCNUGANGCAGCAACNCCGCGUGAGUGAAGAAGGCUUUCGGNUNGUAAAGCUCUGUCACCGGGGACGAAGUCUUGAUGUUGAACAAGCAUUAAGGUGACGGUACCCGGGGAGGAAGCCCCGGCUAANUACGUGCCAGCAGCCGCGGUAAAACGUAGGGGGCGAGCGUUGUCCGGAAUUAUUGGGCGUAAAGGGCGUGUAGGCGGCUUUUUAAGUCAGGUGUGAAACCCCCGAGCUCAACUCGGGGCAUGCAUCUGAAACUGGGGAGCUUGAGGGCAGGAGAGGAAAGCGGAACUCCCGGUGUAGCGGUGAAAUGCGUAGAUAUCGGGAAGAACACCAGUGGCGAAGGCGGCUUUCUGGCCUGGCCCUGACGCUGAGGCGCGAAAGCGUGGGGAGCAAACAGGAUUAGAUACCCUGGUAGUCCACGCCGUAAACGAUGGGUGCUAGGUGUUGGAGGUAUCGACCCCUUCAGUGCCGGAGCUAACGCAAUAAGCACCCCGCCUGGGGAGUACGGUCGCAAG
RNAcentral lists this ribosomal RNA (566 nucleotides) under bacterium enrichment culture clone MA2. RNAcentral's name for it is "bacterial SSU rRNA". It matches the Rfam family "Bacterial small subunit ribosomal RNA", at positions 334 to 892 of the family's 1533-position model. The record is from RNAcentral.